AGUGAACGCUGGCGGUAGGCCUAACACAUGCAAGUCGAACGGCAGAACGGUACUUGCUUGCGCUUACGGGUGGGGAGGGGCGGGUGAGUGAUAGGUACAUCGGAGUCUGCGUGUUAGAGGGGGAGAACGUGGGGGCACUUACGCUAAUAGCGCAUACGACGUAAGUGUGAAAUCUGCGGAUCUUAGGCCAUUGGACGAUUGAAUGAGGCGAUGUCGGAUUAGCUAGUUGGCGGGGUAAAGGCCCACCAAGGCGACGAUCCGUAGCUGGUCUGAGAGGAUGAUCAGCCACACUGGAACUGAGACACGGUCCAGACUCCUACGGGAGGCAGCAGUGGGGAAUAUUGGACAAUGGGCGAAAGCCUGAUCCAGCCAUGCCGCGUGUGUGAAGAAGGCCUUCGGGUUGUAAAGCACUUUUGGUGGGGAAGAAAAGCAGCAGGUUAAUACCUCGCUGUUUUGACGGUACCAAAAGAAUAAGCACCGGCUAACUUCGUG
Molecule: ribosomal RNA, 492 nt
Filed under: uncultured bacterium
Lineage: Bacteria
Description: partial 16S ribosomal RNA
Rfam family: Bacterial small subunit ribosomal RNA
Source: RNAcentral